This 776-nucleotide ribosomal RNA is filed under the name Ligilactobacillus salivarius. RNAcentral's name for it is "bacterial SSU rRNA". It matches the Rfam family "Bacterial small subunit ribosomal RNA", at positions 33 to 780 of the family's 1533-position model. Lineage: Bacteria; Bacillati; Bacillota; Bacilli; Lactobacillales; Lactobacillaceae. The record is from RNAcentral.
ACGCUGGCGGCGUGCUAAUACAUGCAAGUCGAACGAAACUUUCUUACACCGAAUGCUUGCAUUCACCGUAAGAAGUUGAGUGGCGGACGGGUGAGUAACACGUGGGUAACCUGCCUAAAAGAAGGGGAUAACACUUGGAAACAGGUGCUAAUACCGUAUAUCUCUAAGGAUCGCAUGAUCCUUAGAUGAAAGAUGGUUCUGCUAUCGCUUUUAGAUGGACCCGCGGCGUAUUAACUAGUUGGUGGGGUAACGGCCUACCAAGGUGAUGAUACGUAGCCGAACUGAGAGGUUGAUCGGCCACAUUGGGACUGAGACACGGCCCAAACUCCUACGGGAGGCAGCAGUAGGGAAUCUUCCACAAUGGACGCAAGUCUGAUGGAGCAACGCCGCGUGAGUGAAGAAGGUCUUCGGAUCGUAAAACUCUGUUGUUAGAGAAGAACACGAGUGAGAGUAACUGUUCAUUCGAUGACGGUAUCUAACCAGCAAGUCACGGCUAACUACGUGCCAGCAGCCGCGGUAAUACGUAGGUGGCAAGCGUUGUCCGGAUUUAUUGGGCGUAAAGGGAACGCAGGCGGUCUUUUAAGUCUGAUGUGAAAGCCUUCGGCUUAACCGGAGUAGUGCAUUGGAAACUGGAAGACUUGAGUGCAGAAGAGGAGAGUGGAACUCCAUGUGUAGCGGUGAAAUGCGUAGAUAUAUGGAAGAACACCAGUGGCGAAAGCGGCUCUCUGGUCUGUAACUGACGCUGAGGUUCGAAAGCGUGGGUAGCAACAGGAUAA